AGUGAACGCUGGCGGUAGGCCUAACACAUGCAAGUCGAACGGCAGCACAGUAAGAGCUUGCUCUUACGGGUGGCGAGUGGCGGACGGGUGAGGAAUACAUCGGAAUCUACUUUUUCGUGGGGGAUAACGUAGGGAAACUUACGCUAAUACCGCAUACGACCUACGGGUGAAAGCAGGGGAACUUCGGACCUUGCGCGAUUGAAUGAGCCGAUGUCGGAGUAGCUAGUUGGCGGGGUAAAGGCCCACCAAGGGGACGAUCCGUAGCUGGUCUGAGAGGAUGAUCAGCCACACUGGAACUGAGACACGGUCCAGACUCCUACGGGAGGCAGCAGUGGGGAAUAUUGGACAAUGGGCGCAAGCCUGAUCCAGCCAUACCGCGUGGGUGAAGAAGGCCUUCGGGUUGUAAAGCCCUUUUGUUGGGAAAGAAAAGCAGCAGGUUAAUACCCCGCUGUUCUGACGGUACCCAAAGAAUAAGCACCGGCUAACUUCGUG
This 492-nucleotide ribosomal RNA is filed under the name uncultured bacterium. RNAcentral's name for it is "partial 16S ribosomal RNA". It matches the Rfam family "Bacterial small subunit ribosomal RNA", at positions 29 to 507 of the family's 1533-position model. The record is from RNAcentral.